Hordeum vulgare subsp. vulgare (domesticated barley) is the source of this 710-nucleotide long non-coding RNA. RefSeq lists it as uncharacterized. The transcript has 2 exons. Lineage: Eukaryota; Viridiplantae; Streptophyta; Magnoliopsida; Poales; Poaceae. The record is from RefSeq and is a predicted model, not a curated record.
UAUUUGACACUCACCAGACCAGACAUUUCAUUUGUUGUUAACAAAGUCUGUCGGUUUCUUCAUGCACAUACUACAGUUCAUUUCACUACUGCCAAACGUAUAGUAAGAUAUGUGAAAAAUACUUUGAGCAUUGGCCUAAAUUUCAGCAAGUCAUCCUCUACACUUGUCAGUGCCUUCUCUGACUCAGACUGGGCAUGAUGUCUGGAUGACAGACGCUCAACUGGUUGUUUUGCAGUUUUCUUUGGACCUAACUUGAUAUCUUGGUGUGCAAGGAAGCAAGCCACCGUUUCCAGAUCCCGCACAGAAGCAGAGUACAAGGCAUUGGCCAAUGCAACAACAGAGAUCAUACGGGUGCAGUCUAUUUUGAAGGAACUAGGUUGCAGAUGGUUUUACCAAGGCUCUACCCACAAGAGGUUUUGAGGACUUUAAGCAUAAUCUCAACUUGAUGAAGUUGUGAUUAAGGGAGGGUGUUAAACGUAACCAGUACUUAGCGUAUAAGGCAAGGAGGAUCUACCAACCCAACCGAAGGAGUAGUUAGACAUGAUAGAUACUCAUGUAAUCUUUAUCCUCUCUUAUCUAUAUCUCUUGGUUCCUUCUCCUCCAAGUUGUAUUCCUAGAAUCUCUCCAACAACUUGUACGUGUAUUGGGCUCGCACCCCAUCUAUUUAACACGCAUCACGUCGGCCGGGAAGGCUAAGACGUUUCCCGCAU